AUUAAGAACUUAGGACUUUCUGUGAGCUGGUAUGUCAGGCUCUGAGUUUCUGAUCCUGGCUUGAUUGGUUUCUCAAGGCCUUGGACCUCCAGUCUCGGAUACUGAAGCGAGUUCCACUGGAGCAACCAGAAAUGAUCCCCUCCCAGAAGCAACUGGCAGCCUCUAUCUGCAUCCAGUUUGCAGAGCACUACCUGGCAGAGAAAGAGUAUGACAAGGCAGUACGGUCUUAUAAGGAUGUCUUCUCCUACUUGCCAACUGACAAUAAGGUGAUGCUGGAGCUGGCGGAGCUCUACCUGCUCCAGGGGCACCUGGACCUGUGUGAGCAGCACUGUGCCAUCCUCCUGCAGACUGAGCAGAACCAUGAGACCGCUUCUGUGGUAGGAAGCCCCCAGCACCCACUCCCUCCCUCCCUUCCUCCCUUCCCAGGGUCCCUGUGACCAGAUGCAGGCCACUUCUUAGCCGUGUAACCUCAGAUGCCUCAGUGACACACCUCUGAGGAGCUGUCAGGCAGAGAGGACUCAGUGCUGCACCUACUCUGCCCUUUAGCCGGAAGGGGUAGGCUGGCUGGCAGUGGGCAGCAUCAAUCUCCUGGGCCAGUCUAAGGUGGGGUGAGGUUUAUUCACCCCAGGGGAAAGCACAUCCACUGUAGGUGAAGGCAAGGUGGGACAGGUUCCUGGGGCUUCAGGAAAAGCCCUCCUUGGUCCUGCCUCUCUCUUCCCUAUCAUCCAGACCUCCUCUAGGGCUGGACCAGGAGCAGAAGCUGAGCCCUUGCAGAGCAAGGAGGGGUCCUCAUCCCUAUCUCUAUUGCCUGGCAGUUCUCAGAAUGGGUGGAGAGCCUUCCCCUGUAAGCUGUCAAAAAGCCCCACUGGUCUCUACCACUGGUCUUACCUUCCCAUGUACAUCCUCA
Molecule: small RNA, 907 nt
Filed under: Pongo abelii (Sumatran orangutan)
Lineage: Eukaryota; Metazoa; Chordata; Mammalia; Primates; Hominidae
Description: processed transcript
Source: RNAcentral